UUGAAACACCAGUUCCCAUAUGAUCACUAAAGUUAAGCAAUGUUAAACUUGGUUAGUACUUAGAUGGGUGAUCACUUGGGAGUACCAGC
This is a non-coding RNA of Acanthosepion pharaonis, 89 nucleotides long. Lineage: Eukaryota; Metazoa; Mollusca; Cephalopoda; Sepiida; Sepiidae. The record is from the annotation of a GenBank genome assembly.